This 234-nucleotide long non-coding RNA is filed under the name Lotus japonicus. RNAcentral's name for it is "long non-coding RNA (LJAP_LNC000650)". Lineage: Eukaryota; Viridiplantae; Streptophyta; Magnoliopsida; Fabales; Fabaceae. The record is from RNAcentral.
GAAGAGAGAGAUGAGUGGGGGAGAGUCCGAGAGAGAAAGAAAAGGUGAGAUAGAGAAAAGAAGUUGACUUUUCAACUGUUUGGGACUACAUUGACAUUAGGUUGAUAAUAUUAGGGACUAAAUUGAUAUCUAAGUGGCGCUUAAUGUGACAACUCAGCAUUUUCGUUAACGUCCAUCAACGUUUUUUAACCCAGGGACUAACGUGAAGGGGAUUUGCCACUUCCAGGGACCGUG